AUGCAGUCGUACGAGAAAGAGGUUGCUUGCAACCUUGAGUAGAGUGGCGCACGGGUGAGUAACACGUAGAUAAUCUGCCUUCAAGUCUGGAAUAACUAUUCGAAAGGGUAGCUAAUACCGGAUGAAGUUAAAUUACAUAGGUUUUUUAAUGAAAGAUUGCCUCUUUGCAAUGCAAUCGCUUGGAGAUGAGUCUGCGGACCAUUAGCUUGUUGGUGGGGUAAAGGCCUACCAAGGCUGCGAUGGUUAGCUGGUCUGAGAGGAUGAUCAGUCACACUGGAACUGGAACACGGUCCAGACUCCUACGGGAGGCAGCAGUGAGGAAUUUUGCGCAAUGGGGGAAACCCUGACGCAGCAACGCCGCGUGAGUGAAGAAGGCCCUUGGGUCGUAAAGCUCUGUCAACUGGGAAGAAGUUAGAUCAUAUUAAUAGUAUGUUCUAUUGACGGUACCAGUGGAGGAAGCGCCGGCUAACUCCGUGCCAGCAGCCACGGUAACACGGGGGGCGCAAGCGUUAUUCGGAAUUAUUGGGCGUAAAGGGCGCGCAGGCGGUCUUGUCAGUCAGGUGUGAAAGCCCGGGGCUCAACCCUGGAAGUGCACUUGAAACAGCAAGACUUGAGUACUGGAGAGGAAAGCGGAAUUCCUGGUGUAGAGGUGAAAUUCGUAGAUAUCAGGAGGAACACCGAUGGCGAAGGCAGCUUUCUGGACAGAUACUGACGCUGAGGCGCGAAGGCGUGGGGAGCGAACGGGAUUAGAUACCCCGGUAGUCCACGCAGUAAACGUUGUACACUCGGUGUCUCGGAUAUUAAAAUCUGAGGUGCCCAAGCUAACGCAUUAAGUGUACCGCCUGGGAAGUACGGUCGCAAGACUAAAACUCAAAGGAAUUGACGGGGGCCCGCACAAGCGGUGGAGCAUGUGGUUUAAUUCGACGCAACGCGAAGAACCUUACCUGGGUUUGACAUCCUGUGAAUAUUGCGUAAUUGCAAUAGUGCCUUCCGGAGCACA
This 1000-nucleotide ribosomal RNA is filed under the name uncultured Desulfobacteraceae bacterium. RNAcentral describes it as "bacterial SSU rRNA". It matches the Rfam family "Bacterial small subunit ribosomal RNA", at positions 55 to 1030 of the family's 1533-position model. The record is from RNAcentral. Lineage: Bacteria; Pseudomonadati; Thermodesulfobacteriota; Desulfobacteria; Desulfobacterales; Desulfobacteraceae.